This 763-nucleotide long non-coding RNA is filed under the name Homo sapiens (human). RNAcentral's name for it is "non-protein coding lnc-ZNF527-3:1". Lineage: Eukaryota; Metazoa; Chordata; Mammalia; Primates; Hominidae. The record is from RNAcentral.
AGAGUUUUAACAUCCCCCUUUGCCCCAAAGAUGGAUACUACUCACUAUGGAAGGCAGAGCUAUCCCACCAGCCCUGGACUGCUCAGCCCUAGAUUCUUACACGAGGUACAAAUAAAUAUAUGGUAUUCAGGUCAUUGAAUAUGUAUUUUGGGGUCUUUACUAUAUCAGCUUAACCUAUACUCUAAUUUUACAACUCCAGUGUGCCAUACAAAUAGUACCAUUUUCUGGUUGUGCCAUGAUGAAGGCUGGGAAGCACUAUGACCUGGACCAUUUGUUCUUGGUCCCUUUUGCUGACCCUUCCUUCUCACUGCCAUCAAGAGGGCAAUCCUUUCCUCCACACCAUCCAGGUAAUUAGCUUAUAGUGGUCCCAAAGAUAAAGGUCGAAUACCCCAGCUCUUGCAGAAACUUCGAGCUGAGGUGGUGGGCAGGAGCUCCUUGGAACCCUCCCUUCCUCCAUCCGAAGAGCUUGUUCCUUUCCACCUCUGACUUCGGUGUCCUCUGCUCCUCCUCUCCCGGCAUCGCCCCUUCCCUGUGCAGGGGCAGCGAUUGGGGCCUCAGCCUUAGUUCUUCCAGCUGGACCCUGGGAUGGUGCGGGGCUGUGGCUCUGGGAAGUAUCUUGGCCUGCACGCGGUUUACAUCAUUGGGAGCACAGGCCUCGCCCUCCGAACUACGAGGCCCAGAGCCCUUCGCGCCGAGCGUUUCCCGCCUUUCCCCUGUCUCAAGUCAUUGCCCAGAGGCCACUGCGGGCCGUUCCUGCCUGUCC